RNAcentral lists this ribosomal RNA (433 nucleotides) under uncultured Alphaproteobacteria bacterium. Its description in RNAcentral is "bacterial SSU rRNA". It matches the Rfam family "Bacterial small subunit ribosomal RNA", at positions 29 to 505 of the family's 1533-position model. The record is from RNAcentral. Lineage: Bacteria; Pseudomonadati; Pseudomonadota; Alphaproteobacteria.
AAUGUACGCUGGCGGCACGCCUAACACAUGCAAGUCGAGCGAGGUACUUGUACCUAGCGGCAGACGGGUGCGUAACAUGUGGGAAUCUGCCUUUUGGUUCGGAACAACACGGGGAAACUUGUGCUAAUACCGGAUAAGUCCUAACGGAGAAAGAUUUAUCGCCGAAAGAUGAGCCCGCAUUAGAUUAGCUUGUUGGUAAGGUAAAAGCUUACCAAGGCUACGAUCUAUAGCUGAUUUGAGAGGAUGAUCAGCCACACUGGGACUGAGACACGGCCCAAACUCCUACGGGAGGCAGCAGUGGGGAAUCUUAGACAAUGGGCGCAAGCCUGAUCUAGCCAUGCCGCGUGAGUGAUGAAGGCCUUAGGGUCGUAAAGCUCUUUUCUCAAGGAAGAAGAUCUGACGGUACUUGAGGAAUAAGCCACGGCUAAUUCCG